GGGUACAGCUCAGUGGUAGAGCACAUGCUUAGUAUGCACGAGGUCCUUGGUUCAAUCCCUGGUACCUCCA
This 70-nucleotide transfer RNA is filed under the name Camelus bactrianus (Bactrian camel). It matches the Rfam family "tRNA". Rfam says of the family: Transfer RNA (tRNA) molecules are approximately 80 nucleotides in length. Their secondary structure includes four short double-helical elements and three loops (D, anti-codon, and T loops). Further hydrogen bonds mediate the characteristic L-shaped molecular structure. tRNAs have two regions of fundamental functional importance: the anti-codon, which is responsible for specific mRNA codon recognition, and the 3' end, to which the tRNAs corresponding amino acid is attached (by aminoacyl-tRNA synthetases). tRNAs cope with the degeneracy of the genetic code in two manners: having more than one tRNA (with a specific anti-codon) for a particular amino acid; and 'wobble' base-pairing, i.e. permitting non-standard base-pairing at the 3rd anti-codon position. The record is from Rfam by way of RNAcentral. RNAcentral also lists the same sequence under 2 other names. Lineage: Eukaryota; Metazoa; Chordata; Mammalia; Artiodactyla; Camelidae.